Long non-coding RNA from Homo sapiens (human), 1837 nucleotides. Lineage: Eukaryota; Metazoa; Chordata; Mammalia; Primates; Hominidae. The record is from Ensembl.
GCCCACGUCUCUCCUCUGUCUUGUUAAGGAAAGCGGCGCUUCUGAUCAGAAAAACAACACAAGGAUCUCAGAGGCAGGACAGAGUGGGAUCCGAGGGACCGCGUGGUGUUUCUGGCCCCCUUCCCUCUCGAUGGCUGAUUAUUCAGAGUGUUCACACCCAGCAAAGGAGCAGGCUGCUCGUUCCCGACUGCAGCACGGCGUGCCGGGCCGCGGUGUUCUUUCUGGAUCACUGGUUUCCUCAGCAGCAGCGCUAACAGCCGCCCGGCAUGUCGGGCUCAAUGCAUCAGGUCUAAUCAGAUGUGGCAGCUGCUGAAACCCAAAUGCCUCCAUCCAACCAAAGCAUCUCAAUGCUGCCAGUGGUCUCUGGCUGAGCCGCCUCCAAUUCAAAUGCACGUGACAGGGUCCCUGGCUGCAACCCAGGUUGGAGAAUCCGGGAUUAGAAGGCUGAGGACUUCGGACAACCAAACCCAGCUGUCCCUGAUGAAGUUGCCUGGGCACACCAGAGUGUGGGAGAGUGGACGGCGCGGCCCCUCCUGCACUUGGAGCUGCUCUCAGAUCUUGGGCUGUGACCCCUGUGGGUGACACGAAGUUCAGUGAUUGUCCUCCUUCUGGACUGAGGGACAUCCAUCCACACGCGCCCCCUCCACAGCCCGAUCCCAUCACGUCCUGCUCGUCCAACAUGGGCCUUAGAUCCUGGGGUCUCUGCUGAGUGCCUCCCCUCUGAACGCCCGGCUGGCACUUUCACGGUGAAGCCAGCUGUCAUGGACACCGACGGCAGGUGGCCUUUCUGCGUUGUCUACCGGCUGAUCUUGAAAGUGAAAACGGACAUUGUCUGCCCUGUGGUGACCGUGUUGGGUGAUGGUCCUGGGGUCAGGCCCUGCAUGCACCUUCACCCAGGGAUGGCUUCUUAGCUGACAGCGGCUCUGCCAGGAACCACGAUCACCCUCCAGUUUGCUCUUUGUGCUGAAUUUUAUUGACAUGAAAUUCGCAUGACGCCAACUUUAUCGUUUUAAAGUGAAUGGUUAAACAGAAUGCGGCACUUUCACAGGGCGGCAUGACCCCCACCUCUGUCUGCCUUCAGAACAUUUUCAUCCCCCACGAAAGGAGGAAGCGCAGUCCCCAGGAACAGUUACUCCUCAUUUCCCCUCCCCAGCUCUGGCUUCCGCAACCACGAAUCUGCUUUCUGUCUCCGUGAAUUUGCCUCUUUCGGAUAUAUUUCACGUAAAUGGAGUCCCGUGAUAGAUGAGCUGUGUCUGCCUCUUGCGGGCAGCACAGUGUCUGGAAGGUUCUCCGUGCAGCCGCAGGGGUUGGCGCUUCCUUCCUCCCGAGGCUGACCCGGCCCCGUCGUACGGGGAGUCCACUGUGUGUCUGUCUUUUGGCUGCUGUGAGCCUGGGUGUGCCGCCUGCUCCAGCCCAUGUUUUCAGCUCUUUCAGGUGUGGAGGGAGGAGUGGAAUUGUGGGAUCAUAUUGUAACUUUAACUUUGGAAGGAUCUGCCAAAUUACCCCUCUAAUUUGUUUUCAAUUUUAUUCUUAUUUCCCUGUCACUUGUUCUUUCUUUUGACUGGUUAAAAAAAAUGGCAAAGGUCUUCAGCAAAACAAGAAGUGAGUUUCAAUUGAACCGUGAAUUAAAUAUGAUACACUCAAAAUCUGACCAAUAAUACAUUUUAAUUUUCCCCACACAUUUACGUCCACGUUAAUUUCAUGGAAAUCAAGAUGCUUUUGCCUCUGUUCUAAAGUAUUUAUUUUUUUUAAGACAGGUUCUUACUCUGUUGCCCAGGCUGGAGUGCAAUGGCGCGAUCUCAGCUCACUGCAGUCUUGACCUCCCAGGCUCAAGCAA